CAGAGUCCAGUUCAUGGUUUCUCAAAUUCAGCACUAGUGACAUUUUGGGCCGCAUCAUUCUUUGUUGUGGGGGCUGUCCUGUGAAUUGUAGGAUGUUGAGCAGCAUCCCUGGCCUCUACC
Ceratotherium simum simum (southern white rhinoceros) is the source of this 120-nucleotide non-coding RNA. The record is from RefSeq and is a predicted model, not a curated record. NCBI's taxonomy places the organism in Eukaryota, Metazoa, Chordata, Mammalia, Perissodactyla, Rhinocerotidae.